UCCCUGGUGGCUCAGAGGUUAAAGCAUCUGCCUGGAAUGCAGGAAGACCCGGGUUCGGUCCCUGGGUUGGGAA
RNAcentral lists this transfer RNA (73 nucleotides) under Ovis aries (sheep). It matches the Rfam family "tRNA". From Rfam's summary of the family: Transfer RNA (tRNA) molecules are approximately 80 nucleotides in length. Their secondary structure includes four short double-helical elements and three loops (D, anti-codon, and T loops). Lineage: Eukaryota; Metazoa; Chordata; Mammalia; Artiodactyla; Bovidae. The record is from Rfam by way of RNAcentral.